This 253-nucleotide ribosomal RNA is filed under the name uncultured bacterium. RNAcentral's name for it is "partial 16S ribosomal RNA". It matches the Rfam family "Bacterial small subunit ribosomal RNA", at positions 524 to 776 of the family's 1533-position model. The record is from RNAcentral.
UACGGGGGGGGCAAGCGUUGUUCGGAAUUACUGGGCGUAAAGGGCUCGUAGGCGGCCAACUAAGUCAGACGUGAAAUCCCUCGGCUUAACCGGGGAACUGCGUCUGAUACUGGUUGGCUUGAAUCCGGGAGAGGGAUGUGGAAUUCCAGGUGUAGCGGUGAAAUGCGUAGAUAUCUGGAGGAACACCGGUGGCGAAGGCGGCAUCCUGGACCGACACUGACACUGAGGAGCGAAAGCCAGGGGAGCAAACGGG